RNAcentral lists this ribosomal RNA (254 nucleotides) under uncultured bacterium. Its description in RNAcentral is "partial 16S ribosomal RNA". It matches the Rfam family "Bacterial small subunit ribosomal RNA", at positions 524 to 776 of the family's 1533-position model. The record is from RNAcentral.
GACGAACCGUGCGAACGUUAUUCGGAAUCACUGGGCUUAAAGCGCGUGUAGGCGGGACGGCACGUCGGUCGCUGAAAUCCCCCGGCUUAACCGGGGAACGGGCGUCGAUACGACCGUCCUGGAGGGGCGUAGGGGGAUCUGGAACUUCCGGUGGAGCGGUGAAAUGCGUUGAGAUCGGAAGGAACGCCCGUGGCGAAAGCGAGGUCCUGGACGCCUACUGACGCUGAGACGCGAAAGCCAGGGGAGCGAACGGG